RNAcentral lists this ribosomal RNA (255 nucleotides) under uncultured bacterium. RNAcentral's name for it is "partial 16S ribosomal RNA". It matches the Rfam family "Bacterial small subunit ribosomal RNA", at positions 524 to 776 of the family's 1533-position model. The record is from RNAcentral.
UACGUAGGCAGCGAGCGUUGUUCGGAAUUACUGGGCGUAAAGAGUGUGUAGGCGGUGCUCUAAGUUCGGUGUGAAAUCUCCUGGCUCAACUGGGAGGGUGCGCCGGAAACUGGAGUGCUUGAGCGUGGGAGAGGAAAGCGGAAUUCCUGGUGUAGCGGUGAAAUGCGUAGAUAUGCGGAGGAACACCGAUGGCGAAGGCAAUCCCCUGGGCCUGCACUGACGCUCAUGCACGAAAAGCGUGGGGGAGCAAACAGG